RNAcentral lists this long non-coding RNA (2516 nucleotides) under Homo sapiens (human). RNAcentral describes it as "non-protein coding lnc-ADAMTS18-10:1". Lineage: Eukaryota; Metazoa; Chordata; Mammalia; Primates; Hominidae. The record is from RNAcentral.
UCUCUACUAAAAAUACAAAUUAGCCAGGCAAGGUGGUACAAACCCAUAAUCCAAGCUACUAAGUAGCUGAGAUGGGCGGCUGGCUUGAGCCCAGAAGUUUGAGGUUGCCAUGAGCCAAGAUUGUACAACUGUACUCCAGCCUGGGCAACAGAAGAAUGUCAUGGCAAAGAGGUUUUCCAGUGGGAGUUGGAGUGAAGGGAAUCCUAAUACCCCAAAUGAUUGGAGGAGAUGGGCUGUGAUUUGUAUUUGCUGAGCGCUCCAUGCAAGAAUACAGCAAUCUGUUGCUUUUAAUGAUAAAAACAAAAAUUAUAAAUUAAACAUAUGCUGUAUGCUUCACUUCUCAUGUCUACAUUUCUAUUACUCCUCACCUAGUGAUUUUAGAUAUAGAACAAUUUCAAGGAAAAGGUAGCUGUUUCAGGGAAAAUUCUACUUUGGCCUCGCGUUCAGAGUUUUCUUACAUAAAAGACCAAGGUUCUUAUGAUGCAGAUGAAGCCUCCAGGAAAUAGGCCUCAGAGAGAAUAAAUCAUCAGUCCGGUGCUCCGUCUCCAACAGUUGUAAAGAAGGUAUUUUUCAUCUGAAUAGCCAUUGACAGCGAACUCUGGUGACAUCCUCAGUCUUCCUUGACAAUGGGAGGAGGAGUUGUCACCAAGAAACUUGUUACUAUCCCAAGUAACGAGCUAGCAUCCCUCAGAUAAUACAAUAGCAUCAAAAACAGAAAAAGUGCUUGAAGAACUGGAAGGAACAGUGAUCAUUCUUGUCAGAUGGAAUCUUAAAAUCCAGUGGGUUUCAAAGGAUGAGCAGGAGCUGGACAUGAAGGGAUUGGAGGAUGGGGACUGGAAAUGGGGAGUUCAUUGCAAUCAGAAGGAAGAGCAAGAAAGGAACAAAAAGCAAGCAGUGUUUGGGGAGACCAGGAUGUGAUUCCAGUUUGGCCAAAAUAUAGGGUAUACUGGGAGAAUCUAUUGAGGUUUUGGGAGUGUAUUUGUUUGUAGUUUGAAAACACCUAAGCAAUUUUGAAGAGAAGCAGACUCUUUAAGUCAGAUGCUGGGUUCUCCAGUCCAAAUAUGCCAAUAUAAUUGUGUCUGGUCAAUGUCUAUCCUGUCCAUCCCUCCUGAGUGCCAGAUCUAAAUCCAGGUGCCAAUGGAUGACUUCCACUUGGGUGCCCCACAGGCGUCAUGAAUUCAGUAUGACUGAAAAGGACUCCUCCUAUCUUCAGCGAUGGUUCCACUACACAAUACACUGUCCAAGCCAGAAGUCCCAAACUAGCCUUCUGUCCUUCCUUCUCCAUUCACCACGCCUGUCAUCCCCUUCAGAGCUGUUGGCCAAAUCUUGUUGAUUUUACCAAGUAUCUAUCAAAAUGUUUCCUCUUCCUCCCUGUACUCACUGCAAUCACUUUUGCUCAAGGGCUCAUCAUUUCGUGCCUGGGUGACUAGAGUUGUUUCCCAGCAGGUCUCCCCACCCUCCUUUCUCACAUGGCUGCCAGAACGGUCUUCUGAAAGGCAAAUCUGACCAUUCGACAACUCUGCUCUAAAUUCCUCCUAUGGAUCCCCAUGGCUUGGAUUUAAUAAAUGUUUAUUGAGUGAAUGAGUUCUCUGCAUACAUGUUGUUCUCUGCCUGGUACCGUGGAGGUCAGGCUCGCACAGAAGCAUACUUAUGGUCAGAGUUAGUCAAUAAAAAAAGUGAUCUAUUCUGAGUUCCAUACCACCCCAAAACACUGAUCAGCUUGGGGAAACUUAGAAAGUUCAACCACCUGGGGAUAAAGUUUGGACAACUAGGCUAGGGCCAAUUCAGGGUACAGGUGGAGGCUAGGAAGUUUGGCAUAGGAUAUCAUUAAAGGUCUUCUAAGGAUGAAGGCAAUUGGAGCUACACUAUAGGAAGGCACAGCAGGCGGAGAACAGACUUGAGAAGGAUUUGGGAGGUGAAGAAACAGCUAAAAGACUCUAUCUCUGACAAAGAUAUAAUGCCCAGAAUUAGAAGAGUGGAAAUGAAGGAAUGAUGAAUGAAAGAGAUUAUCAAGAAGAAACAAACAAACAAAUAAACAAACAAAAAUCCCUGUAAUCAGUAACCAUCUAUUAUUAUGUCCCAGAUUUUGGAAAUGAGACCCUAAUGACAAGCACUCCUAAACCUUCAACAUAGCUGCUGUUAAGGAUGUUGUCUUGUGGGGGUGAAAGGCAGACCAAAAUGAUACACCGAUGAGUCCUUUCUGAUUUUAAGCAAAUGGCAUACAGUGUGGUGAAUUAAAAACAGCAUUAUCCUGAUUUUAUUACUAGUAUCAUUACUAUUAGCAUUAUUGCUACUGCUGUUAUAGGUAAAAAUGGGAACGUUGUGAACAUUUCCCAUUGCCUAUCCAAGGUGCUUGGUACUUUACAUGAUAUCUCACUUAAUCAUCAGAAAGUUUGGAGUUAUUCUAUAGGUAAUGAGGGAGAUGCUAUUAUUACCUGCUGUGGUGGAAUAAAGAUGGCUGCAAAUUCUUUGUCACUUCUACCAGAAGAAAGUGAGGUGUAUGUCUGCUCCCCUUG